AUGAACGCUGGCGGCGUGCCUAAUACAUGCAAGUCGAGCGAACAGAUGAGGAGCUUGCUCCUCUGACGUUAGCGGCGGACGGGGGAGUAACACGUGGAUAACCUACCUAUAAGACUGGGAUAACUUCGGGAAACCGGAGCUAAUACCGGAUAAUAUAUUGAACCGCAUGGUUCAAUAGGGAAAGACGGUUUUGCUGUCACUUAUAGAUGGAUCCGCGCCGCAUUAGCUAGUUGGUAAGGUAACGGCUUACCAAGGCAACGAUGCGUAGCCGACCUGAGAGGGUGAUCGGCCACACGGGAACUGAGACACGGUCCAGACUCCUACGGGAGGCAGCAGUAGGGAAUCUGCCGCAAUGGGCGAAAGCCUGACGGAGCAACGCCGCGUGAGUGAUGAAGGUCUUCGGAUCGUAAAACUCUGUUAUUAGGGAAGAACAAAUGUGUAAGUAACUAUGCACGUCUUGACGGUACCUAAUCAGAAAGCCACGGCUAACUACGUG
This 496-nucleotide ribosomal RNA is filed under the name uncultured bacterium. RNAcentral describes it as "partial 16S ribosomal RNA". It matches the Rfam family "Bacterial small subunit ribosomal RNA", at positions 29 to 507 of the family's 1533-position model. The record is from RNAcentral.